UACGAAGUAGGCUAGCGUUGUUUGGAAUCACUGGGCGUAAAGUGCACGUAGGCUGAUUGGUCAGUUGGGGGUGAAAUCCCGGGGCUCAACCUCGGAACUGCCUUCAAUACUGCCAGUCUUGAGUCCGAGAGAGGUGAGUGGAAUUCCUAGUGUAGAGGUGAAAUUCGUAGAUAUUAGGAAGAACACCAGUGGCGAAGGCGGCUCACUGGCUCGGUACUGACGCUGAGGUGCGAAAGCGUGGGGAGCAAACAGG
Molecule: ribosomal RNA, 253 nt
Filed under: uncultured bacterium
Lineage: Bacteria
Description: partial 16S ribosomal RNA
Rfam family: Bacterial small subunit ribosomal RNA
Source: RNAcentral